AUGGCCUCCCUCAUCGAUGUCCCCGCUUGCACCGGCGCAUUCUUAACGGGCACACUACACAGUUUUCAUCACCAGGCUCCAUGGCACUCGCUGCUACGACUUAGUCGCCUUGACGAAGACAGUGUACUCGGCGACAGUACGGAACUUGAAGCCGGAGUCGAUGGUGCAUGCAGUGGAGGCAUCGGUGAGCGUGGACGGAAAGCCGGGGCGAGCUUCCGACCUGCCGAGAAGCACAGCCAUGGGCGGAAAAUAGAGCAGGGGCGGAGCAGCUGCCCUUCUACGACAAAGGGGGAAGAGAGUUGCGGCGGAUCUAGCAGCGAGCACCGGAGGGUAGGGCGGAGCGUCGGCACUGAAGAAGAAAACGGGAUUUGGGACUGGCCUUGUUGCUUUGAGAUCCGCUCCGCUACGUGUCAGCUGCGGGAGGCGGUCGCGAUGCUCAAAGCACCAACAACAGACAUGUCACAACACUGCUCUCUCGUCGAAGAGAUUAGCAGCUUAGCACGCCGUCAUGCUAGAGAGCUUGUAUUCGUGCAGUGUAGCCGUUGGCAGAAUACCGCGAGUCAUGAGUUGGCCGCAUAUGGCCGUAGCACCCCACAUACGGCAGUCUGGUUCGCAGGAGGACCGGACUUUCUUGUAAACUUGGUUAAAGCCGAGAGGCCUCCUUGA
This 666-nucleotide ribosomal RNA is filed under the name Triticum aestivum (bread wheat). Its description in RNAcentral is "partial small subunit ribosomal RNA". The record is from RNAcentral. Lineage: Eukaryota; Viridiplantae; Streptophyta; Magnoliopsida; Poales; Poaceae.